Molecule: RNA transcript, 1236 nt
Organism: Diabrotica virgifera virgifera (western corn rootworm)
Lineage: Eukaryota; Metazoa; Arthropoda; Insecta; Coleoptera; Chrysomelidae
Exons: 3
Source: RefSeq, a predicted model, not a curated record
AGCAGAUAUAUAUGAAAAAUAAAGAGUAAACAAAUAAAUUGUCCUUUAAAAACACAUGCGUACACAAACUUAUUGAGUUAAUGAUAAUAUGUGGAGUAAUAUUUAAGGAAAUAAAAUAAAAGUUCAUAAAGUUUUUUAUUAUUGCGAUGUUACCUUAGUAUGCGUCAAGAAAGCGUUGUUCUUGAAGAAUGGGACGGUGUCAGCGUGGCGGCGGGCAGCGGGAGCAGCCCCAGGUCGAGGUGGAGGCGAUCAGCGGGACAGCAACGGUCCAAGUUGGAGGCGGUCAGCGGGACAGCAAACGGUCCAAGGUGGAGGCGGUCAGCGGGACAGCGACGGUCCAAGUUGGAUGGCAAUCAGCGUGAGAGCAAUGGUGCAAGGUGGGGUCGAUCAGCGGAACAGCAACGGUCCAAGGUAGAGGCGAUCAGCGGGACAGCAACGGUCCAAGGUGGAGGCAGUCAACAGGACAGCGACGGUCCAAGGUGGAGGCGAUCAGCGGGACAGCAACGGUCCAAGGUGGAAACGGUCAGCGGGACAGCAAUGGUCCAAGGUGGAGUCGAUCAGCGGGACAGCAACGGUCCAAGGUAGAGGCGGUCAGCGGGACAGCAACGGUCCAAGGUGGAGGCGAUCAGCGGGACAGCAACGGUCCAAGGUAGAGGCGGUCAGCGGGACAGCAACGGUCCAAGUAGAGGUAAUAGGAUCACCGGAACAGCCGAUAACGAUUCGAUUCAAUUUCAACACCGCGAGCCUUGCUUCUGGGUAUGCAGACGAUUCUUUGAAUCGUCCCACCAGGGGUACCAAAUUAUGUGUAGGACGCUUCACCUGUGGUAAAAGGACCUGGUGAAUAUCUCCUGUCCUUCACACAAGAGGGGAACCAGCUUCUAUAGUGGUUGAUAUAAUUAGACUCUGAUAUUCUUUGUCGAGUCGAAGCAAGGUGUAAAUCGGUGUUGAAAUGAUUAAAAUACGUGUGAGAUAAUUAGUUUAUUUAACACAAACACUAAUAUUUACAAGUAUCGUACAAAAUAAUUAUUAUUGUUUUUACUACAACAAAAAAACAUACAUAAAUUUGCUAUGUGCAAUUGACAGUAAAGUGAACCGCGAUUUAAGAGUGAAACAUGUGAUUAGUAACAAGUGAGAGAAGAUUCGCGUGAAAAACCGUGUAAUGCGAUAGGAAAAUACGAGACGUGAAUACUUUCAGAGUUGAGCGAGAGACGCGACCGAUUAGCUCGGUAGUUGACG